GCCUAAACCUAGUUCUUUAUUGACACCAACCCUCACCAUAAACUAAACAAAACAUUUGACACGAUUCGUAGAUGAGAUCGAACAUCGCACAAAGACACAAUAGAGCCCAGUACCGCAAGGGAAAGAUGAAAAAUCACCACAUAAGCCCAAAAAAGCAAAGACAAAACCUUGUACCUCUCGCAUCAUGGUUUAGCAAGAAAACUCAAACUAGAAGAAUCGAGCUUGUCCCCCCGAAACCAAGUGAGCUACCCCCAGGCAGCUGAAAUCGAGCCAAUCCCCCUCUGUAGCAAAAGAGCGGAAAGACCCCGGGGUAGUGGUGAAAAGCCUACCGAACUUGGCGAUAGCUGGUCGCUCAAAAAAGAAUAUAAGUUCUACCUUAACAACGUCCGCCACCUUUACCGUUUAUAAAGCUUAAGGAAAUUCAUUAGGGGUACAGCCCUAAUGAAACGGAGUACAAUCCGAAUCAGAGAGGAAAAACCAAGCCCUAACACCCGUAGGCCCUAAAGCAGCCACCAAUAAAUAUAGCGUCAAAGCAUCACCGUACAAAAUACCUAACCAAAACCUCACCUCCAGCGCCACCUACGAGCCACCCUAUAAUUAUAGAAAAGCCAAUGCUAAAACUACUAACAAGAACUAUUUCUCCAAACGCGCCCAUCAGCCAGAAUGAAACCGCCACUGGCAAUUAUCAGACCACAAAACACAGGCCAAGACCCAAACUUUCUAGCCUCAAACACACUGUGACCCCAACACAGGCACGUUCACAAAAAAGAUGAAAAGUUAUAAAAGGAACUCGGCAAACCAUGACUCCAACUGUUUACCAAAAACAUAACCUUUAGCCAAACAAGUAUUAAAGGCGAUGCCUGCCCAGUGAGAAAAUCUUUAACGGCCGCGGUACCCUAACCGUGCAAAGGUAGCAUAAUCACUUGUCCACUAAUUAUGGACUAGUAUGAACGGCCACAUGAGAGUCAAACUGUCUCUUAUAACCCAUCAGUGAAACUGAUCUUACAGUCCAAAAGCUGUAAUAGACCCAUAAGACGAGAAGACCCCGUGAAACUUCAAAACCACCUCAGCCUACCCCCCCUGAGGCCACUUUCAGUUGGGGCGACUUUGGAAAACACAAAACUUCCAAACACAGGGCAUUCAACCCACACUCCGGCCCACACGCCAGCCAUACGAUCCAGUAUAUCUGAUAAAUGAACCAAGCUACUCCAGGGAUAACAGCGCCAUCUUCUUCAAGAGCCCAUAUCAAAAAGAAGGUUUACGACCUCGAUGUUGGAUCAGGACACCCAAGCGGCGCAGCCACUACUAAAGGUUCGUUUGUUCAACGAUUAACAGU
RNAcentral lists this ribosomal RNA (1336 nucleotides) under Siagonodon septemstriatus. RNAcentral describes it as "partial 16S ribosomal RNA". It matches the Rfam family "Bacterial large subunit ribosomal RNA", at positions 173 to 2594 of the family's 2925-position model. Lineage: Eukaryota; Metazoa; Chordata; Lepidosauria; Squamata; Leptotyphlopidae. The record is from RNAcentral.